AGAGUUUGAUCAUGGCUCAGAUUAAACGCUGGCGGCAUGGCUAAAGCAUGCAAGUCGAACGAGAACCAGGCUUCGGCCUGGGGACAGUGGCGAAAGGGUGAGGAACGCGAUCGAACGUGCCCCGAGGUGGGGGAUAGCGUCGAGAAAUCGGCGGUAAUACCCCAUAUCCUCUACGGAGGAAAGAUUUAUCGCCUUGGGAGCGGCGAUCGUCCUAUCAGGUUGUUGGUGAGGUAAUGGCUCACCAAGCCUAAGACGGGUAGCGGGUGUGAGAGCAUGGCCCGCCACAUCGGGACUGAGACACUGCCCGGACUCCUACGGGAGGCUGCAGCGACGAAUCUUCCGCAAUGGGCGAAAGCCUGACGGAGCAAUGCCGCGUGCGGGAUGAAGCGGCUUCGCCGUGUAAACCGCUGUCAGGUUCUAGGAACCAUGACCAGAACCAGAGGAAGGGCCGGCUAAUUCCGUGCCAGCAGCCGCGGUAAUACGGAAGGCCCGAGCGUUAAUCGGAAUCACUGGGCUUAAAGGGUGCGUANGCGGACCCGUAAGCGUCUUGUGAAAGCCCCCGGCUCAACCGGGGAAUUGCAGGGCGAACUACGGGUCUUGAGGUA
RNAcentral lists this ribosomal RNA (605 nucleotides) under uncultured Planctomycetota bacterium. Its description in RNAcentral is "bacterial SSU rRNA". It matches the Rfam family "Bacterial small subunit ribosomal RNA", at positions 8 to 649 of the family's 1533-position model. Lineage: Bacteria; Pseudomonadati; Planctomycetota. The record is from RNAcentral.